Podarcis lilfordi (Lilford's wall lizard) is the source of this 72-nucleotide non-coding RNA. Lineage: Eukaryota; Metazoa; Chordata; Lepidosauria; Squamata; Lacertidae. The record is from the annotation of a GenBank genome assembly.
AGGGAUGUAGCUUAGAGGCAGACCAUCUGCUUUGCAUGCAGAAAGUCCCAGGUUCAGUUCGUGCCAUCUCCA